Molecule: long non-coding RNA, 166 nt
Organism: Fundulus heteroclitus (mummichog)
Lineage: Eukaryota; Metazoa; Chordata; Actinopteri; Cyprinodontiformes; Fundulidae
Exons: 2
Source: RefSeq, a predicted model, not a curated record
UCUCUCUCUCUUUCUCUCUCAACUGUCACCCUCUGGAUCCAAGGAGCGCCUCAGGAACCUCUUAUAAGGACCAUCGCCCCCACCUGGAUUCUGACAAGUUGUUCCUGAGAAUGUCUCCCGUUUCCCACCAGAGAGUUUAUUUUGAUAAAAAAAACUUUUAAAAUGC